CAGCAGCCGCGGUAAAACGGAGGGUGCAAGCGUCAAUCGGAAUUACUGGGCGUAAAGCGCACGCAGGCGGUUUGUUAAGUCAGAUGUGAAAUCCCCGAGCUUAACUUGGGAACUGCAUUUGAAACUGGCAAGCUAGAGUCUUGUAGAGGGGGGUAGAAUUCCAGGUGUAGCGGUGAAAUGCGUAGAGAUCUGGAGGAAUACCGGUGGCGAAGGCGGCCCCCUGGACAAAGACUGACGCUCAGGUGCGAAAGCGUGGGGAGCAAACAGGAUUAGAUACCCGCGUAGUCCCUGUCUCUUAUAC
Molecule: ribosomal RNA, 301 nt
Filed under: uncultured bacterium
Lineage: Bacteria
Description: partial 16S ribosomal RNA
Rfam family: Bacterial small subunit ribosomal RNA
Source: RNAcentral